RNAcentral lists this ribosomal RNA (253 nucleotides) under uncultured prokaryote. RNAcentral describes it as "partial 16S ribosomal RNA". It matches the Rfam family "Bacterial small subunit ribosomal RNA", at positions 525 to 777 of the family's 1533-position model. The record is from RNAcentral.
ACGAAGGGUGCAAGCGUUAAUCGGAAUUACUGGGCGUAAAGCGCGCGUAGGUGGUUAGGUAAGUUGGAUGUGAAAGCCCUGGGCUCAACCUGGGAACUGCAUCCAAAACUGCUUGGCUAGAGUACGGUAGAGGGUAGUGGAAUUUCCUGUGUAGCGGUGAAAUGCGUAGAUAUAGGAAGGAACACCAGUGGCGAAGGCGACUACCUGGACUGAUACUGACACUGAGGUGCGAAAGCGUGGGGAGCAAACAGGA